CAGGGAGACAACAAAAUGUUUAAUAUUAUUAUUUUGUCACCUUAGGUCGAUCGGUAUCUCACAUUCUUAAUUACUUUAAGGAUUUCAUUUCCUAAGUUUUUCUAGGUCACACCCAUUAUUUUUCCUGGGCCAUUAGCUCAGGUGGUUAGAGCGCACCCCUGAUAAGGGUGAGGUCCCUGGUUCAAGUCCAGGAUGGCCCAUAUCUCUAUGUUGGGGGUAUAGCUCAGUUGGUAGAGCGCCUGCUUUGCAAGCAGGAUGUCAGCGGUUCGAGUCCGCUUACCUCCACUGAUUACCACCUCUUCCAUAAUUUGGAGAAAGGAAAUUUUUUGAGUUGUGAUCAAAUUCUGAACGAAUCUAGCUUCCUAAUUAUCUUUAUUAAGAUGCUGGACUCAUUGAAUAAAUUUCAUUGUUUUCAGAGAACCUUGACAACUGCAUAGAUUAUUUUUAAAGACAAUAAGCAUCUUUAAUGAUGCAGAUUUAUUAUUUGUGCGAAUGCAUUAAUAACAAUUCUAUUAAGCUGAUGCUUCA
This 528-nucleotide transfer RNA is filed under the name uncultured Prochlorococcus sp. RNAcentral's name for it is "partial 16S-23S ribosomal RNA intergenic spacer". The stretch from base 213 to 285 matches the Rfam family "tRNA". The record is from RNAcentral. Lineage: Bacteria; Bacillati; Cyanobacteriota; Cyanophyceae; Synechococcales; Prochlorococcaceae.